Molecule: ribosomal RNA, 253 nt
Filed under: uncultured bacterium
Lineage: Bacteria
Description: partial 16S ribosomal RNA
Rfam family: Bacterial small subunit ribosomal RNA
Source: RNAcentral
UACAGAGGGGGCAAGCGUUAUUCGGAAUUAUUGGGCGUAAAGGGCGCGUAGGCGGCCUGGCAAGUGGAAGGUGAAAUCCCUCGGCUUAACCGAGGAACUGCCCUCCAAACUGCUUGGCUUGAGUCCGGGAGAGGUGAGUGGAAUUCCCAGUGUAGCGGUGAAAUGCGUAGAUAUUGGGAAGAACACCGGUGGCGAAGGCGGCUCUCUGGACCGACACUGACGCUGAGGCGCGAAAGCGUGGGGAGCAAACAGG